CGGACAAUAAAUUAUUUAUUCCACCAAUAAUGCUUACAAAACCAUAGUACAAGAAAAACAAAUUGAAAGGCCUUGAAAUCAAAUCUUGGAGGCAUGGAUGAUCAACUACUCUUGCACCCAUUAAGUCUUGGCAAGUGGGACCAUCUCAAGAACACUCCAAGUUGCAAACGGUUUACAACUGAAAAUCUGAAACACAGCUUAACUUACUACAAAUAUAACAACAAUAUUGACUGUGUGCAUAAGCCAAGAAUCAUAUAUAUGAAUAUGAUGCGCUAACACUCAGGUGUUUCGGUGUGAUCUCUCUUUGGAUCCGCACAAUAGUCAUAAGCCAAGUAAUUCUUCUGAACCCAUUCCAUGGCCGAGUACUGCUGCUGGCUGAGGCCACCGGAGACAGAUGGAGAGGCUGAGGGUGGCCGGCAGGUAGCAGGAGCAUUUGCAGUGCACCCACCAAUUUUGAAAUUUUGAUACCUACCAAUGAAUGGUUGGUAACUAUAAUCUGCUUUGUAUUUUCCAUCCUCAGUGGCCCACGAUGAUGCAUCCCAUAUUGAGCCAUAAACCCACAUUGGCCUCAGUGGAAAUGUGGCAUCACUUUUUCUUGGAUACCUUCUAAUAGGAAUAUCAUCGACAAAAAAUAGGAUCUCACUGGGGGUCCACAGAAUGCCAUACUUAUGAAAAUCUUGUGUAGGAUCAAACCAAAGAUGGAUUUUCAUUUCUCUUCCAAUAAGUCUUCCAUCCCCACUUCCUCUGAUAUAGACAUUGGUCUGCAAAGUAUAAGGCUUAUCUGGAGUUGUUCCUAGGAACUCAAUAUCAAUUUCAUCAUGGUUUCCAGGAUGUUCUUCAUUGUUUGAAAGAUAGAAUGAUGUAAUGACUCCUGCAGUGUAACCAGGUUGAAGCUUGAUGGCAGCACCAAAAUAUCCUGACUGAUAUGGCUCAAGUGAUUUAUACCCACUUCCUGAGUAAGUAUCAAGCCAUAUUGUUAAUGUGCCUUGGUCUAGUCUUUGAUGCUGAGGACCCCAAAGGUUUCUAUAACCUUGAUCAAAUCCUAUAGUGCUAAUUCUGGAACUAGGGUAGUAGCCAGNNNNNNNGAGUUUGAGCAUUGUUGCUUGAAGGGAUCAUUAGAAUGAGUAGAAGAUAAAGAAGAGAAGCCAUGAAGAUAGAUAGAGAUUGAAGGACUUUUGUAGGAUGAUUAAUGG
RNAcentral lists this unclassified non-coding RNA (1193 nucleotides) under Hevea brasiliensis (rubber tree). Lineage: Eukaryota; Viridiplantae; Streptophyta; Magnoliopsida; Malpighiales; Euphorbiaceae. The record is from RNAcentral.